AAUAGAUACCCAGGUAGUCCUAGCCGUAAACGAUACUCGCUAGGUGUCGGCCACGGUGCGACCGUUGUCGGUGCCGUAGGGAAGCCGUGAAGCGAGCCACCUGGGAAGUACGGCCGCAAGGCUGAAACUUAAAGGAAUUGGCGGGGGAGCACCACAACGGGUGGAGCUUGCGGUUUAAUUGGAUUCAACGCCGGAAAUCUUACCGGGACCGACAGCAAUAUGAAGGCCAGGCUGAAGACUUUGCCGGAUUAGCUGAGAGGUGGUGCAUGGCCGUCGUCAGUUCGUACUGUGAAGCAUCCUGUUAAGUCAGGCAACGAGCGAGACCCACGCCCACAGUUGCCAGCGUACUCUCUGGAGUGACGGGUACACUGUGGGGACCGCCGCUGCUAAAGCGGAGGAAGGAAUGGGCAACGGUAGGUCAGUAUGCCCCGAAUAUCCCGGGCUACACGCGAGCUACAAUGGUUGGUACAAUGGGUAUCUACCCCGAAAGGGACGGGAAUCUCCUAAAACCAAUCUUAGUUCGGAUUGAGGGCUGCAACUCGCCUCA
RNAcentral lists this ribosomal RNA (547 nucleotides) under uncultured bacterium. RNAcentral's name for it is "bacterial SSU rRNA". It matches the Rfam family "Archaeal small subunit ribosomal RNA", at positions 728 to 1276 of the family's 1478-position model. The record is from RNAcentral.